Molecule: long non-coding RNA, 1723 nt
Organism: Homo sapiens (human)
Lineage: Eukaryota; Metazoa; Chordata; Mammalia; Primates; Hominidae
Exons: 3
Source: RefSeq, a predicted model, not a curated record
GGUCACACUAUGUGGCCUUUAUUCUCUAUAUAGCACAUUUUGUUUUCCAGCAAGAAUCUUCCUCUUCCACCAAGUGAAGCCCAUUGACCCAAUAUCUGAAGGCAGCCUGGGAAGAACCUGCACUCUUUAGACCACCCAAGGCCAAUGUCAUGAUCAGGCAUGAAGCUGCCUGACAUCUAAGGAUCUCUGAAGAGAACUGGGACCUGAAACCCAUCUGAAAUGUAUCUGCAGACAGGUCAAGUUCAUCGAGAGUCACCUCCUGCCUGACACUCCAGUCAUUAAUUCCAGAUAGGGGAUUUAGCCUGGAAAGAAUAUAUGACUGCCAGUUACUAAGUGAGCCAGACAUCAAGCCUAGUGCCACGUGUCUCUUCUUUAAAGCAUGAUAGGUCACCAACUGAAGAGGAAAUUGGUGAGCAUCAACUUUCUCAGCAUGGUGAGAGAACAUUGAUGGCUGGUUCAUGCUAAAUGUCCAGAGGAAAGAAAAGGUAAUUCACUGAUUGUUCAGCCUGGUGAAUUUUAACCUCUCAUGAGACAAGAAAAUUACUAUGUGGAAACACAGACAUCAUGAUGCUUAUUCAGAAGAUGCUAAGAACUUUGAUGACUCAUUCAAUAUAUCUUUGUAAAAGUAAAUGAAAUGCAAAAGAUAAGGAAGGCAAAAAAGAGAUGGAUAGAAAAGGAAGGGAAGGAGAAGAAAGAAAAAAGAGAAAUGCAUAUUUUAUAGAAUGAUGCAAUAUUUAACAGUUAAACAAAUGUGGCGGGUGGGCCUGGUGGCUCACGCCUGUAAUCCCAGCAGUUUGGGAGGCCGAGGUGGGAGGAUCACCUGAGGUCAGGAGUUCGAGACCAGCCUGACCAACAUGGAGAAACCCCAUCUCUACUAAAAACAUAAAAUUAGCUGGGUGUGGUGGCGCAUGCCUGUAAUCCCAGCUACUCAGGAGGCUAAGGCAGGAGAAUCGCUUGAACCUGGGAGGAGGAGGUUGCAGUGAGCCAAGAUCGUGCCACUGUACUCCAGCCUGGGCAACAAGAGCAAAACUCCACCUCAAAAAAAAAAAUAGUGAAAUGUUUAUGUAUCAGCCUAUGGGGGCUCAGUGCUGCCAAUUUGGUGAGGACGAUGGGGUUUAUGCAAAUGUCCUUUUGUAGACGCAAUGAGAAAAAAGAGGCAGAGAAGGGGCAAGAGGUAUCUCUCACAGGAAUACAGAAAUUCUAGCUCUGCAUACAUAACUAAUUGACUGCCUGUAUAAACUCAACUAUCUGAAAUUCACCCUUUUACACACUCUGUCUCUGGGUUAAGGACAGAAAACUUUCUGUGCUACUCAAGAAUGAGAUCUCAAAUGAAAAGGAGCAACGCUGUGAACUUUGCCUGGAAAGAAACAUUCCUCCACAGCCCUGCUGGUUUCAGGUGUGAUUGGUAAAUAUGGACUUUUAAAUGGGCUUAUCCAAAUGACAUCCUCACAUGAAUGAGACAAAUAGAAACUCAUAUGAAAGGUGCUUUCGGAAAUGACAUAAAAGAAGAAAUGAUUGAGACAAGGGAGUCAAGAGGUGUGGUAAGAGAGAAUGGGUCUCUUUUUGGAGAGGCUGUAGAUGACUGUCUGCAAAUCGCUCCUAGUAAGGUAGCACUUUUAAGAGAUGGUGGAGAAAGGGCUGAACAUUUAGGGAUCUGGGGAUGAGGAGAUGAGUAACAGAGAUUGAUAAACUUGUGAAGAUGCAGAGCUUUAUAGGAGAGAAG